Molecule: unclassified non-coding RNA, 333 nt
Filed under: fungal sp.
Lineage: Eukaryota; Fungi
Description: partial internal transcribed spacer region
Rfam family: Eukaryotic small subunit ribosomal RNA (bases 1-46)
Source: RNAcentral
AAGUCGUAACAAGGUUUCCGUAGGUGAACCUGCGGAAGGAUCAUUAACACGUAUCCAAACGUUUAAAACAAAAAGAAAACCUAUAACCAAGCCUGCUCCGUAAAGUCCCCUGCGUACGUGAAAGUGGUAUUGGGGUGUAUGUACUGGAGAAACCCUUCUGGAUGAUGGACGGCCACCACGGCCGGUCGCUGCUGCUUGUGGGCGUUCGUGCCCCCCAGGAUUACCCCGCUACCAGUCGAAACGACCAACCUGCGCAACCAUUACGUGUUGAGCCCGUGGGCGUCGUAAACCGAAAUACUUGAACAACUGUUAACAAUGGAUAUCUUGGUUCUC